RNAcentral lists this transfer RNA (72 nucleotides) under Marmota marmota marmota (Alpine marmot). It matches the Rfam family "tRNA". From Rfam's summary of the family: Transfer RNA (tRNA) molecules are approximately 80 nucleotides in length. Their secondary structure includes four short double-helical elements and three loops (D, anti-codon, and T loops). Further hydrogen bonds mediate the characteristic L-shaped molecular structure. tRNAs have two regions of fundamental functional importance: the anti-codon, which is responsible for specific mRNA codon recognition, and the 3' end, to which the tRNAs corresponding amino acid is attached (by aminoacyl-tRNA synthetases). tRNAs cope with the degeneracy of the genetic code in two manners: having more than one tRNA (with a specific anti-codon) for a particular amino acid; and 'wobble' base-pairing, i.e. permitting non-standard base-pairing at the 3rd anti-codon position. Lineage: Eukaryota; Metazoa; Chordata; Mammalia; Rodentia; Sciuridae. The record is from Rfam by way of RNAcentral. RNAcentral also lists the same sequence under 1 other name.
UGGGAUGUAGCUCAGUAGUAGAGGGCCUGCCUAUCAUGCAAGAGGCCCUGGGUUCCAUUCCCAGCACUGCAA